AGGGAAGUAGGCAAGCCAGAUCCAUAACUUUGGGAUAAAGAUUGGUUCUAAGGGCUGGGCAUGAACUGCAGCUGGAUGAGGGACCACCCUCUCCUUGGGGGGGAAGGGGGAGGCAGCAACUCUUGACACAAGCCAGGCCCUUCCUGUGGAUUGUCGCAGCUGUGGUGGGUGUUGCUCACCUCUCCCCCUCAGUGGGGUUAGGGGGCACUGUCAUUCUGCCUUGACUGGUGCCUAGCAGCUGACUUAGAACUGGUGCAGGCCAGGGGGAUCUGACUGUUUAAUGAAAACAAAGCAUCACAAAGGACUGCAGUAGGUGUUGACUCAAUGUGAUUUCUGCCCAGUGCUCUGAAUGUCAAAGUGAAGAAAUUCAAUGAAGCGCAGGUAAAUGGCAGGACUGUCUUAACCAACCCUGUAAUUUGGAAAGGGUCUGAGGAAGGCAGCCCAUUUAAAUCUGUCCC
RNAcentral lists this non-coding RNA (458 nucleotides) under Chelonia mydas (Green sea turtle). Its description in RNAcentral is "Eukaryotic large subunit ribosomal RNA". It matches the Rfam family "Eukaryotic large subunit ribosomal RNA", at positions 1907 to 2273 of the family's 3401-position model. Lineage: Eukaryota; Metazoa; Chordata; Testudines; Cheloniidae. The record is from Rfam by way of RNAcentral.